CCUACGGGAGGCAGCAGUGAGGAAUAUUUGUCAAUGGACGAGAGUCUGAACCAGCCAAGUAGCGUGAAGGAUGACUGCCCUAUGGGUUGUAAACUUCUUUUAUAUGGGAAUAAAAUGUUACACGUGUGGGAUUUUGUAUGUACCAUAUGAAUAAGGAUCGGCUAACUCCGUGCCAGCAGCCGCGGUAAUACGGAGGAUCCGAUCGUUAUCCGGCUUUAUUGGGUUUAAAGGGAGCGUAGGGGGCUUGUUAAGUCAGUUGUGAAAUUUUGCGGCUCAACCGUAAAAUUGCAGUUGAAACUGGCCGUCUUUAGUACAGUCGCGGUUGGCGGCAUUCGUGGUGUAGCCGU
This 347-nucleotide ribosomal RNA is filed under the name uncultured bacterium. RNAcentral's name for it is "partial 16S ribosomal RNA". It matches the Rfam family "Bacterial small subunit ribosomal RNA", at positions 338 to 682 of the family's 1533-position model. The record is from RNAcentral.